CGGAGAGUUUGAUCCUGGCUCAGAUUGAACGCUGGCGGCAGGCCUAACACAUGCAAGUCGAGCGGUAGAGAGAAGCUUGCUUCUCUUGAGAGCGGCGGACGGGUGAGUAAUGCCUAGGAAUCUGCCUGGUAGUGGGGGAUAACGUCCGGAAACGGACGCUAAUACCGCAUACGUCCUACGGGAGAAAGCAGGGGACCUUCGGGCCUUGCGCUAUCAGAUGAGCCUAGGUCGGAUUAGCUAGUUGGUGGGGUAAUGGCUCACCAAGGCGACGAUCCGUAACUGGUCUGAGAGGAUGAUCAGUCACACUGGAACUGAGACACGGUCCAGACUCCUACGGGAGGCAGCAGUGGGGAAUAUUGGACAAUGGGCGAAAGCCUGAUCCAGCCAUGCCGCGUGUGUGAAGAAGGUCUUCGGAUUGUAAAGCACUUUUAAGUUUGGGAGGAAGGGCAGUAAAUUAAUACUUUGCUGUUUUGACGUUACCGACAGAAUAAGCACCGGCUAACUCUGUGCCAGCAGCCGCGGUAAUACAGAGGGUGCAAGCGUUAAUCGGAAUUACUGGGCGUAAGCGCGCGUAGGUGUUCGUUAAGUUGGAUGUGAAAUCCCCGGGCUCCACCUGGGAACUGCAUUCAAAAC
This 633-nucleotide ribosomal RNA is filed under the name uncultured bacterium. Its description in RNAcentral is "bacterial SSU rRNA". It matches the Rfam family "Bacterial small subunit ribosomal RNA", at positions 1 to 633 of the family's 1533-position model. The record is from RNAcentral.